This 83-nucleotide ribosomal RNA is filed under the name Rhodobacterales bacterium. Lineage: Bacteria; Pseudomonadati; Pseudomonadota; Alphaproteobacteria; Rhodobacterales. The record is from RNAcentral.
UCCCAUCUCGAACUCGGCCGUUAAGUGCGGUUGCGCUGAUGGUACUGCGUCUUAAGGCGUGGGAGAGUAAGUCAUCGCCAAAC